CGGAGAGUAAUUUCAUGUU
This 19-nucleotide microRNA is filed under the name Ciona intestinalis (vase tunicate). RNAcentral's name for it is "cin-miR-281-5p". Its record names the gene cin-miR-281-5p. The record is from miRBase by way of RNAcentral. Lineage: Eukaryota; Metazoa; Chordata; Ascidiacea; Phlebobranchia; Cionidae.